This 460-nucleotide ribosomal RNA is filed under the name uncultured Methylomirabilota bacterium. RNAcentral's name for it is "bacterial SSU rRNA". It matches the Rfam family "Bacterial small subunit ribosomal RNA", at positions 977 to 1434 of the family's 1533-position model. The record is from RNAcentral. Lineage: Bacteria; Methylomirabilota (SeqCode).
GGGCUUGACAUCCCACGAACCUGCCCGAAAGGGUUGGGUGCCCGCAAGGGAGCGUGGAGACAGGUGGUGCAUGGCUGUCGUCAGCUCGUGUCGUGAGAUGUUGGGUUAAGUCCCGCAACGAGCGCAACCCUCACCCCUUGUUGCGACCGGGUCAUGCCGAGCACUCUAGGGGAACUGCCAGCGUCAAGCUGGAGGAAGGCGGGGAUGACGUCAAGUCAUCAUGCCCCUUACGCCCUGGGCUACACACGUGCUACAAUGGCCGGUACAAAGGGAUGCGAUGUCGCGAGGUGGAGCUAACCCCAAAAAACCGGUCUAAGUUCAGAUUGCAGUCUGCAACUCGACUGCAUGAAGGAGGAAUCGCUAGUAAUCGCGCAUCAGCACGGCGCGGUGAAUACGUUCCCGGGCCUUGUACACACCGCCCGUCACACCACGAAAGCCGGCUGUACUCGAAGUCGCUGAG